UCCCUGGUGGUACAGAGGUUAGGACUUGGUGCUUUCACUGCCAAGGGCCUAGGUUCGAUCCCUGGUUGGGGAC
RNAcentral lists this transfer RNA (73 nucleotides) under Bos taurus (domestic cattle). It matches the Rfam family "tRNA". Rfam says of the family: Transfer RNA (tRNA) molecules are approximately 80 nucleotides in length. Their secondary structure includes four short double-helical elements and three loops (D, anti-codon, and T loops). RNAcentral also lists the same sequence under 5 other names. The record is from Rfam by way of RNAcentral. Lineage: Eukaryota; Metazoa; Chordata; Mammalia; Artiodactyla; Bovidae.